CACACCGCCCGUCACACCAUGGGAGUUGGUUUUACCUGAAGACGGUGCGCUAACCAGCAAUGGAGGCAGCCGGCCACGGUAGGUCAGCGACUGGGGUG
RNAcentral lists this ribosomal RNA (98 nucleotides) under uncultured bacterium. Its description in RNAcentral is "partial 16S ribosomal RNA". It matches the Rfam family "Bacterial small subunit ribosomal RNA", at positions 1386 to 1482 of the family's 1533-position model. The record is from RNAcentral.